This 110-nucleotide non-coding RNA is filed under the name Anaerobacillus isosaccharinicus. RNAcentral's name for it is "Anaerobacillus sp. NB2006 TPP riboswitch aptamer (THI element)". It matches the Rfam family "TPP riboswitch aptamer (THI element)". From Rfam's summary of the family: Vitamin B(1) in its active form thiamin pyrophosphate (TPP) is an essential coenzyme that is synthesised by coupling of pyrimidine and thiazole moieties in bacteria. The previously detected thiamin-regulatory element, thi box was extended, resulting in a new, highly conserved RNA secondary structure, the THI element, which is widely distributed in eubacteria and also occurs in some archaea. Analysis of operon structures identified a large number of new candidate thiamin-regulated genes, mostly transporters, in various prokaryotic organisms. RNAcentral also lists the same sequence under 1 other name. The record is from Rfam by way of RNAcentral. Lineage: Bacteria; Bacillati; Bacillota; Bacilli; Caryophanales; Bacillaceae.
AAAGUCUACUAGGGGAGUCCAUAAUGCUUGGACUGAGAAAAGAAAGCAAUCUUUGACCCUUGGAACCUGAUCUGGAUGAUACCAGCGGAGGGAAGUAGUAAAAAACAAGA